UACGUAGGUGGCAAGCGUUGUCCGGAUUUAUUGGGCGUAAAGAGCGCGUAGGCGGCUAGGUAGGUCCGUUGUGAAAACUCGAGGCUCAACCUCGAGACGUCGAUGGAAACCAUCUGGCUAGAGUCCGGAAGAGGAGAGUGGAAUUCCUGGUGUAGCGGUGAAAUGCGCAGAUAUCAGGAAGAACACCCGUGGCGAAGGCGGCUCUCUGGUACGUGACUGACGCUGAGACGCGAAAGCGUGGGGAGCGAACAGG
RNAcentral lists this ribosomal RNA (253 nucleotides) under uncultured bacterium. Its description in RNAcentral is "partial 16S ribosomal RNA". It matches the Rfam family "Bacterial small subunit ribosomal RNA", at positions 524 to 776 of the family's 1533-position model. The record is from RNAcentral.